Molecule: long non-coding RNA, 1555 nt
Filed under: Amphibalanus amphitrite
Lineage: Eukaryota; Metazoa; Arthropoda; Thecostraca; Balanomorpha; Balanidae
Description: uncharacterized LOC122385620
Source: RNAcentral
GUUUCCUUUUUCUGGUGCUCUUUUGGUUUUGAGGUUUUGAGAUCUUUGCAUGGGUUCAGGUUGGAAAUUUGCAAUGCCACCAGGAAACAGUGUUUUUUUGUAUUCAUGCCACAAUUAUGGGCAACACGGCAGGGCAAAGUUUGCCUCAAGUCCUGGCUCGUUUGUACCCUUGAUUUGCAUUCAAGAAAGCAAGUCUGUGCCCGAAUGGAUGCAGCACAUUUUUAAUAUUCUGCAAAGUAAUCGAGGUUCAUUUGCCGAGGCUGCAUGGAGUAUGCGAAGCAAAGCAGUGUCAUGCUGACGCGAAGACGACGACGUUGUAUCUGGCGGUGGUUCUUGAGACAGCGCGGUUCGAUCCAGCUGUGGGCCGGACGUCACCCAGCAGAAAUGGCAGUGUGUUAUCACCAGCUACGAGGCGCGCAUACGGACAUUGUCCAGAAACAAUCACGUCAUCUCCAGAGCGCCACGCGACCACGAUGGGACUGCCAACGAUGGCCUGCUCACCGACAGCUCCCCGCCAGCCGGCGACGUUCCGCCAGCCAACGGGCUUCCGCCAGCCAACGGCGUUCUGCCCGCCGAUGGUGGCCCGACGACCGACGGUCGCUCGCAGGCCGAAGGUGAUCCGGUAGCCGAACGAGGCUCGCCGACCUACGCCGAUCGACGCCGGCCCGCCCGCCGACGGCGCCCUGCCAGCCGACCGCGUCCCGCUCGCCGACGGCGUCGAUACGCCGGCGCGCGUAUCGACAGAAACGAUCACAUUAUGUCCAGGUCACUGGUCGCGUGCGCUCGAGCUGACGGUGUCGUCUGACGGCUCCACGGUGACCAGCGCCGCCUCCGCCGAGAACAUCAGACUCCUGAAAUGCUAAUGGCCGUACACGAACAAGAGGCUCUAUGCAUCCAGGUGCAGGAUAAGCGCCAUGCUCAGAGGCGUCAUCUGGAGAAGGCCGCACAGUGCACUUAAGGCUGAGCUCGGGUGUAGUGCGCGCAGACAGAUAUGAUCAACUGACGGGCCGGCCAUCAGAUUUCUGUACGGAACUCAAGAUGAUUGGAGCCGACAUGGUUCGAUUGAUGUGUGUCAGGGUUGAUUGAGAGUGGAGGCGACACCCGGAUCUGUGAAGGAUGCGCCGAUACGGUCUCGACGUGUCUCGCAAUUUGUGCUAAUAUAUGAAGGCUAUGCCGUGGUAAUCAUUCAGUCGAUGCGAUAAUAAAUAAUAAAUAGGACAGAGACUGGAAUAAGAUUAUUAUAUUUGGAUGUAAGGGGUAGGUUUUGGCCAGCGCUAUAUUAGAAAUCGUGAGCGGCUAGUUGCAAUCAAUCGCGCGCUUCUUGCUGAGCAUCUGUGAGCGAGAAAAUACUUUCUCUGGAACGUUUCGUCGUAAAAUAUGUGUAUCUUUGGAAUAAGUUGCCAGAACAUGAAUGCAUUUUGGUGUCACUGUAUGCUGUUCUGGAACAGAACAUGCCGAGAUCGGCUGUGUAUGUCUAUGUGCGCUGGUGGCAAAUCAAGCAGCCGUACCAUGAAUCAAAGCGAUAUGUGAAUUAAAGUGAAUAUAUUUCACUAUU